ACGAGUAAAACUGGUAGUUGAAAGACAAC
RNAcentral lists this non-coding RNA (29 nucleotides) under Cricetulus griseus (Chinese hamster). The record is from RNAcentral. Lineage: Eukaryota; Metazoa; Chordata; Mammalia; Rodentia; Cricetidae.